CACGUAGUUAGCCGUCCCCUUUCUGGUAAGAUACCGUCACAGUGUGAACUUUCCACUCUCACACUCGUUCUUCUCUUACAACAGAGCUUUACGAUCCGAAAACCUUCUUCACUCACGCGGCGUUGCUCGGUCAGACUUCCGUCCAUUGCCGAAGAUUCCCUACUGCUGCCUCCCGUAGGAGUCUGGGCCGUGUCUCAGUCCCAGUGUGGCCGAUCACCCUCUCAGGUCGGCUAUGUAUCGUCGCCUUGGUGAGCCGUUACCCCGGGACCAACUAGCUAAUACAACGCAGGUCCAUCUGGUAGUGAUGCAAUUGCACCUUUCAAACAGUUGUCAUGCAACAACUACUAUUAUGCGGUAUUAGCUAUCGUUUCCAAUAGUUAUCCCCCGCUACCAGGCAGGUUACCUACGCGUUACUCACCCGUUCGCAACUCAUCCAGAGAAGCAAGCUACCUCCUUCACGCGUUCUACUUGCUAUGUAUUAGGCACGCCGCCAGCGUUCGUCCUUACGG
This 509-nucleotide ribosomal RNA is filed under the name uncultured Streptococcus sp. RNAcentral's name for it is "partial 16S ribosomal RNA". The record is from RNAcentral. Lineage: Bacteria; Bacillati; Bacillota; Bacilli; Lactobacillales; Streptococcaceae.